RNAcentral lists this ribosomal RNA (829 nucleotides) under uncultured marine bacterium. RNAcentral describes it as "bacterial SSU rRNA". It matches the Rfam family "Bacterial small subunit ribosomal RNA", at positions 57 to 934 of the family's 1533-position model. The record is from RNAcentral.
GCAAGUCGAACGAGGUAGCAAUACUUAGUGGCAGACGGGUGAGUAACAUGUAGGUAUCUGCCCUUUGGCCUGGAAUAACACGAGGAAACUUGUGCUAAUACCGGAUAAGUCUUUACGGAGAAAGCUUUAUGCACCAUUGGAUGAGCCUGCACUUGAUUAGUUUGUUGGUGGGGUAAUGGCCUACCAAGACUGUGAUCAAUAGCUGAUUUGAGAGGAUGAUCAGCCACAUUGGGACUGAGACACGGCCCAAACUCCUACGGGAGGCAGCAGUGGGGAAUCUUGCACAAUGGAGGAAACUCUGAUGCAGCGAUGCCGCGUGAGUGAAGAAGGCCUUUGGGUUGUAAAGCUCUUUCGUCGGGGAAGAAAAUGACUGUACCCGAAUAAGAAGGUCCGGCUAACUUCGUGCCAGCAGCCGCGGUAAUACGAAGGGACCUAGCGUAGUUCGGAAUUACUGGGCUUAAAGAGUUCGUAGGUGGUUGAAAAAGUUAGUGGUGAAAUCCCAGAGCUUAACUCUGGAACUGCCAUUAAAACUUUUCAGCUAGAGUAUGAUAGAGGAAAGCAGAAUUUCUAGUGUAGAGGUGAAAUUCGUAGAUAUUAGAAAGAAUACCAAUUGCGAAGGCAGCUUUCUGGAUCAUUACUGACACUGAGGAACGAAAGCAUGGGUAGCGAAGAGGAUUAGAUACCCUCGUAGUCCAUGCCGUAAACGAUGUGUGUUAGACGUUGGAAAUUUAUUUUCAGUGUCGCAGCGAAAGCGAUAAACACACCGCCUGGGGAGUACGACCGCAAGGUUAAAACUCAAAUGAAUUGACGGGGACCCGCACAAGUAGUG